This is a regulatory RNA element of 44 nucleotides. It matches the Rfam family "PreQ1 (pre queuosine) riboswitch aptamer". From Rfam's summary of the family: This family is a bacterial riboswitch that binds to the metabolite preQ1, an intermediate in the biosynthesis of the modified nucleoside queuosine from GTP. One example of this riboswitch is located in the leader of the Bacillus subtilis ykvJKLM (queCDEF) operon which encodes four genes necessary for queuosine production. The record is from Rfam.
CCAUAAGAGGUUCGCAAACUCCCUCUAUAAAAAACUAUACAAGA